This 392-nucleotide ribosomal RNA is filed under the name uncultured bacterium. RNAcentral describes it as "bacterial SSU rRNA". It matches the Rfam family "Bacterial small subunit ribosomal RNA", at positions 527 to 920 of the family's 1533-position model. The record is from RNAcentral.
GGAGGAUCCGAGCGUUAUCCGGAUUUAUUGGGUUUAAAGGGAGCGUAGAUGGAUGUUUAAGUCAGCNUGUGAAAUACGGCGGCUCAACCGUCGAACUGCAGUUGAUACUGGAGGUCUUGAGUGCACACAGGGAUGCUGGAAUUCAUGGUGUAGCGGUGAAAUGCUCAGAUAUCAUGAAGAACUCCGAUCGCGAAGGCAGGCAUCCGGGGUGCAACUGACGCUGAGGCUCGAAAGUGCGGGUAUCAAACAGGAUUAGAUACCCUGGUAGUCCGCACAGUAAACGAUGAAUACUCGCGGUUUGCGAUACAUUGUAAGCCGCCAAGCGAAAGCGUUAAGUAUUCCACCUGGGGAGUACGCCGGCAACGGUGAAACUCAAAGGAAUUGACGGAAGC